Molecule: ribosomal RNA, 496 nt
Filed under: Strigamia chionophila
Lineage: Eukaryota; Metazoa; Arthropoda; Chilopoda; Geophilomorpha; Linotaeniidae
Description: partial 16S ribosomal RNA
Rfam family: Bacterial large subunit ribosomal RNA
Source: RNAcentral
GUUUAUUGGGGGGAUGAUAGAUUGGGCCUGCUCAGUGUUUAUAUAAACAGCCGCGGUAACUUGACUGUGCAAAGGUAGCAUAAUCAUUAGUCUUUUAAUUGGGGGCUGGAAUGAAGGGUUUGACGGGGACCAGCUUUUUUUGGCUAUUGUGUGAAAUUUAGUUUAUUGUGAGGACGCAGUAAUAGGGCUAAUUGACGAGAAGACCCUAUAAAGCUUAAGUGUUUGUUGGAGUUUUCCAUUAGAUAUGUUUCGUUGGGGCAACAAAGCGUGGUUAAUAGUGGUUUUAGGUGAAUUUUUUUUUAGCUGGGUGUGAUCCAUGAUUUUUGAUAGUGAGAUUAGCUACUUUAGGGAUAACAGCGUAAUUGUGCCGGAGAGUUCUUAUUGAUGGGGCAGUUUGCGACCUCGAUGUUGAAUUAGGAUUCCGGGAAGCUGUAGCGGGCUACUUUGGAGGUCUGUUCGACCUUAAAAUUUCUACAUGAUCUGAGUUCAAACCGGA